This 388-nucleotide ribosomal RNA is filed under the name uncultured bacterium. Its description in RNAcentral is "bacterial SSU rRNA". It matches the Rfam family "Bacterial small subunit ribosomal RNA", at positions 100 to 524 of the family's 1533-position model. The record is from RNAcentral.
CACGGGUGCGUAACGCGUGGGAAUCUGCCCUUGGGUUCGGAAUAACAGCGAGAAAUUGCUGCUAAUACCGGAUAAUGACGUAAGUCCAAAGAUUUAUCGCCCAGGGAUGAGCCCGCGUAGGAUUAGCUAGUUGGUGGGGUAAAGGCCUACCAAGGCGACGAUCCUUAGCUGGUCUGAGAGGAUGAUCAGCCACACUGGGACUGAGACACGGCCCAGACUCCUACGGGAGGCAGCAGUGGGGAAUAUUGGACAAUGGGCGAAAGCCUGAUCCAGCAAUGCCGCGUGAGUGAUGAAGGCCUUAGGGUUGUAAAGCUCUUUUACCCGGGAUGAUAAUGACAGUACCGGAAGAAUAAGCUCCGGCUAACUCCGUGCCAGCAGCCGCGGUAAU